This 682-nucleotide ribosomal RNA is filed under the name uncultured bacterium. Its description in RNAcentral is "bacterial SSU rRNA". It matches the Rfam family "Bacterial small subunit ribosomal RNA", at positions 47 to 749 of the family's 1533-position model. The record is from RNAcentral.
CCUACCAUGCAAGUCAAGGCGUAGCCGAAAGGCUACGACUGGCGCACGGGUGAGUAACGCGUAGGUAACCUACCCCUACCCCUGACAUAACACCGAGAAAUCGGUGCUAAUAUCAGAUGAGGAGCCGAAAGGCUUCAAAGGGGCAACCCGGGUAGGGAUGGGCCUGCGUCCGAUUAGGUAGUUGGUAGGGUAAAAGCCUACCAAGCCGACGAUCGGUAGCUGGCCUGAGAGGGUGGUCAGCCACACUGGGACUGAGACACGGCCCAGACUCCUACGGGAGGCAGCAGUGAGGAAUAUUGGGCAAUGGGCGAAAGCCUGACCCAGCGACGCCGCGUGUGGGAUGACGGAGCUCUGCUUCGUAAACCACUGUCGGAGGGGAAGAAAAGCUCCCACGGGGAGCUGGGACUGUACCCUCAGAGGAAGGAUCGGCUAACUACGUGCCAGCAGCCGCGGUAAAACGUAGGAUCCGAGCGUUGUCCGGAAUCACUGGGUGUAAAGGGUGCGUAGGCGGGCUUGCGCGUCAAGGGUUAAAGACCUCGGCUCAACCGAGGCAAUGCCCUUGAUACGGCAAGUCUUGAGUGCGGGAGAGGAUGGUGGAAUUCCUGGUGUAGCGGUGAAAUGCGUAGAGAUCAGGAGGAACACCGAAGGCGAAGGCAGCCAUCUGGACCGUCACUGACGCUGA